This 591-nucleotide long non-coding RNA is filed under the name Gossypium barbadense (sea-island cotton). RNAcentral describes it as "long non-coding RNA (GBAR_LNC015270)". The record is from RNAcentral. Lineage: Eukaryota; Viridiplantae; Streptophyta; Magnoliopsida; Malvales; Malvaceae.
GUACCAUUCUCAUAAUUAUUUUAGCUUUGUUUGCUUAUCAUGAAAUUUGCAGUUUACUGUAUAAUGUAUGUUAGUGAACUAUACUUGAAUCAUGGGCGUUAUGCAUUCUGUAAGUGACAAGACAACUGCAUUCCUUUAUGUUCUUACAUACGUAUAGUUAAUUAUUACAUUAAUAAUAAAAUGUUUAUGAAUAAAAAUAUAUUAAAAUAAAUAUAGUAGUUGGCUAUUGCAAGGUAUCUGUGUAUAGGGUACCCAUUGCAAAGCUCUCGUUGUUAAGGCAAAUUUUUUAGUCUUAGGGUGAGUUUGGAUGGGCGGUGCGUUUAGCUGCGGUUAGUGUAAAAACAGCGGUGGCGGUGAGAUUAGAUACUGUAGCGAUACUGUAGCGUGAGACAAAAAGUAAGUUAAACGCACCGCACCGCAGUCAAUUGCCCAUCCAAACGAAGCCUUAAUAUGCUAAUCAACCAUAAACUUUGCAUAUUUUGGUGCAGUUACUUGCGUAUCAUCUCACUGUGUUAAGGGGAUACAAUGUUGACCAGCCUCGGAAUCUUGCAAAAAGCGUGACCACACAGUGAAGAAUGCUUACUGAUGAAC